RNAcentral lists this ribosomal RNA (253 nucleotides) under uncultured bacterium. RNAcentral's name for it is "partial 16S ribosomal RNA". It matches the Rfam family "Bacterial small subunit ribosomal RNA", at positions 524 to 776 of the family's 1533-position model. The record is from RNAcentral.
UACGUAGGGUGCGAGCGUUGUCCGGAAUUAUUGGGCGUAAAGGGCUCGUAGGCGGUCUGUCGCGUCGGGAGUGAAAACACGGGGCUUAACCCCGUGCCUGCUUCCGAUACGGGCAGACUAGAGGUAUGCAGGGGAGAACGGAAUUCCUGGUGUAGCGGUGAAAUGCGCAGAUAUCAGGAGGAACACCGGUGGCGAAGGCGGUUCUCUGGGCAUUACCUGACGCUGAGGCGCGAAAGCUAGGGUAGCAAACGGG